Molecule: ribosomal RNA, 805 nt
Filed under: uncultured Glomus
Lineage: Eukaryota; Fungi; Glomeromycota; Glomeromycetes; Glomerales; Glomeraceae
Description: SSU rRNA
Rfam family: Eukaryotic small subunit ribosomal RNA
Source: RNAcentral
AUCAACUUUCGAUUGGUAGGAUAGAGGCCUACCAUGGUGGUAACGGGUAACGGGGAAUUAGGGUUCGAUUCCGGAGAGGGAGCCUGAGAAACGGCUACCACAUCCAAGGAAGGCAGCAGGCGCGCAAAUUACCCAAUCCCGACACGGGGAGGUAGUGACAAUAAAUAACAAUACGGGGCUCUUUCGGGUCUCGUAAUUGGAAUGAGUACAAUUUAAAUCCCUUAACGAGGAACAAUUGGAGGGCAAGUCUGGUGCCAGCAGCCGCGGUAAUUCCAGCUCCAAUAGCGUAUAUUAAAGUUGUUGCAGUUAAAAAGCUCGUAGUUGAAUUUCGGGAUUGACACAUCGGUCGUGCCCUAAGAGGUAUGAACUGGUGUCGUCAGUUUCUCACCUUCUGGAGAACCGCGAUGUCCUUAAUUGGGUGCCGCGAGGAACCAGGACCUUUACUUUGAAAAAAUUAGAGUGUUUAAAGCAGGCAUUUUGCUUGAAUACAUUAGCAUGGAAUAAUAAAAUAGGACGGAUGGUUCUAUUUUGUUGGUUUCUAGGAUCACCGUAAUGAUUAAUAGGGAUAGUUGGGGGCAUUAGUAUUCAAUUGUCAGAGGUGAAAUUCUUGGAUUUAUUGAAGACUAACUACUGCGAAAGCAUUUGCCAAGGAUGUUUUCAUUAAUCAAGAACGAAAGUUAGGGGAUCGAAGACGAUCAGAUACCGUCGUAGUCUUAACCAUAAACUAUGCCGACUAGGAAUCAGACGAUGUUAAUUUUUUAAUGACUCGUUUGGCACCUUACGGGAAACCAAAGUGUUUGGGUUC